This 433-nucleotide ribosomal RNA is filed under the name uncultured bacterium. Its description in RNAcentral is "partial 16S ribosomal RNA". It matches the Rfam family "Bacterial small subunit ribosomal RNA", at positions 29 to 507 of the family's 1533-position model. The record is from RNAcentral.
AACGAACGCUGGCGGCGUGCCUAACACAUGCAAGUCGAACGAGACCUUCGGGUCUAGUGGCGCACGGGUGCGUAACGCGUGGGAACCUGCCCUUAGGUUCGGAAUAACUCCCCGAAAGGGGUGCUAAUACCGGAUAAUGUCUUCGGACCAAAGAUUUAUCGCCUUUGGAUGGGCCCGCGUCGGAUUAGCUAGUUGGUAGGGUAAAAGCCUACCAAGGCGACGAUCCAUAGCUGGUCUGAGAGGAUGAUCAGCCACACUGGGACUGAGACACGGCCCAGACUCCUACGGGAGGCAGCAGUGGGGAAUAUUGGACAAUGGGCGAAAGCCUGAUCCAGCAAUGCCGCGUGAGUGAUGAAGGCCUUAGGGUUGUAAAGCUCUUUUACCCGGGAUGAUAAUGACAGUACCGGGAGAAUAAGCUCCGGCUAACUCCGUG